UGGGGAAUAUUGGACAAUGGGCGCAAGCCUGAUCCAGCCAUGCCGCGUGUGUGAAGAAGGCCUUUUGGUUGUAAAGCACUUUAAGCGAGGAGGAGGCUACUUGGAUUAAUACUCUAGGAUAGUGGACGUUACUUGCAGAGUAAGCACCGGCUAACUCUGUGCCAGCAGCCGCGGUAAUACAGAGGGUGCGAGCGUUAAUCGGAUUUACUGGGCGUAAAGCGUGCGUAGGCGGCUUCUUAAGUCGGAUGUGAAAUCCCUGAGCUUAACUUAGGAAUUGCAUUCGAUACUGGGAAGCUAGAGUAUGGGAGAGGAUGGUAGAAUUCCAGGUGUAGCGGUGAAAUGCGUAGAGAUCUGGAGGAAUACCGAUGGCGAAGGCAGCCAUCUGGCCUAAUACUGACGCUGAGGUACGAAAGCAUGGGGAGCAAACAGG
Molecule: ribosomal RNA, 430 nt
Filed under: bacterium
Lineage: Bacteria
Description: partial 16S ribosomal RNA
Rfam family: Bacterial small subunit ribosomal RNA
Source: RNAcentral